ACCACAUGCCAGACGAGAGUGUAAGUACUAUCAAUCAUCGUGACCGCUUAUUAAGACUAGUUAAGAGUUUAUCCCCCAAAAUUGUGACCUUAGUUGAACAAGAAUCAAACACCAACACCGCCCCUUUCCUUCCAAGGUUCCGUGAAACUCUUGAUUACUAUACAGCAAUGUUCGAAUCAAUUGAUGCAGCUCGUCCUAGGGAUGACAAGGAGAGGAUCAGUGCAGAGGAGCAUUGUGUGGCACGAGAUGUUGUGAACAUAAUAGCAUGUGAGGGAGCUGACAGAGUGGAAAGACAUGAACUUUUCGGAAAAUGGAGGUUAAGACUUAUGAUGGCUGGAUUUACUCAAUGUCAAUUGAGUCCAUCAGUUGGUGAGACCAUAAAGCACAUGUUGAAAGAGUACAGCCCUAAUUAUCGGUAUGCAGAAGGCGAAGGAGCACUCUAUCUUGGAUGGAAAAAUAGAGCUUUAGCAACUUCCUCUGCCUGGAGAUGACAUUUUUUGCCCUAUGAUCUCGUCGUUUCAUCUUCAUAACUUCUCGUUUCAUAUAUACAGAGCUCGGAGUAUGGAAUGUUUAGGUUUCUACAUGCUACCAUAGGGAGGAAUAUUGUGAGUUUGAAAUAGACUCCAUGUCUCCAUAUUUGGGUAUUGUCAUUUCCCUUUGUAUUUGAAUGCUUUUUUUUUUUAGUUGUACAUUUUUGUUAUGCACGGGUUCAUAUUUGGUUAAUCGAAGCCUAUGUACAAUCAUUUAAAGGCAUGAACGGAGGAGUUAAUAUCUGGUCACUCAACUUUGAGUUGUUUACUCAGAAAGUCACUCAACUUUGAGUUGUUUACUCAGAAA
RNAcentral lists this unclassified non-coding RNA (837 nucleotides) under Hevea brasiliensis (rubber tree). Lineage: Eukaryota; Viridiplantae; Streptophyta; Magnoliopsida; Malpighiales; Euphorbiaceae. The record is from RNAcentral.